This 730-nucleotide ribosomal RNA is filed under the name uncultured bacterium. RNAcentral's name for it is "bacterial SSU rRNA". It matches the Rfam family "Bacterial small subunit ribosomal RNA", at positions 60 to 795 of the family's 1533-position model. The record is from RNAcentral.
AGCGAAGCACCUUGACGGAUUUCUUCGGAUUGAAGCCUUGGUGACUGAGCGGCGGACGGGUGAGUAACGCGUGGGUAACCUGCCUCAUACAGGGGGAUAACAGUUGGAAACGGCUGCUAAUACCGCAUAAGCGCACAGUACCGCAUGGUACGGUGUGAAAAACUCCGGUGGUAUGAGAUGGACCCGCGUCUGAUUAGGUAGUUGGUGGGGUAACGGCCUACCAAGCCGACGAUCAGUAGCCGACCUGAGAGGGUGACCGGCCACAUUGGGACUGAGACACGGCCCAAACUCCUACGGGAGGCAGCAGUGGGGAAUAUUGCACAAUGGGGGAAACCCUGAUGCAGCGACGCCGCGUGAGCGAUGAAGUAUUUCGGUAUGUAAAGCUCUAUCAGUAGGGAAGAAAAUGACGGUACCUGACUAAGAAGCCCCGGCUAACUACGUGCCAGCAGCCGCGGUAAUACGUAGGGGGCAAGCGUUAUCCGGAUUUACUGGGUGUAAAGGGAGCGUAGACGGCAUGGCAAGCCAGAUGUGAAAGCCCGGGGCUCAACCCCGGGACUGCAUUUGGAACUGUCAGGCUAGAGUGUCGGAGAGGAAAGCGGAAUUCCUAGUGUAGCGGUGAAAUGCGUAGAUAUUAGGAGGAACACCAGUGGCGAAGGCGGCUUUCUGGACGAUGACUGACGUUGAGGCUCGAAAGCGUGGGGAGCAAACAGGAUUAGAUACCCUGGUAGUC